Molecule: ribosomal RNA, 411 nt
Filed under: uncultured eukaryote
Lineage: Eukaryota
Description: bacterial SSU rRNA
Rfam family: Eukaryotic small subunit ribosomal RNA
Source: RNAcentral
CAAUAGCGUAUAUUUAAGUUGUUGCAGUUAAAAAGCUCGUAGUUGGAUUUUGGUUAAGAGGGCGCGGUCGGCCGUUUGGUCUGUACUGCGUUGUCUUGACUUCCUGAUGAGGACAUGCUCUUGGUUAACGCUGAGACAUGGAGUCAUCGUGGUUACUUGAAAAAUUAGAGUGAUUCAAAGCAGGCUGACCGCUUGAAUACAUGAGCAUGGAAUAAUGGAAUAGGACUUUGGUUCUAUUUUGUUGGUUUCUUGAACCGAAGUAAUGAUUAAGAGGGACAGUUGGGGGCAUUCGUAUUUCGUUGUCAGAGGUGAAAUUCUUGGAUUUAUGAAAGACUAACUUCUGCGAAAGCAUUUGCCAAGGAUGUUUUCAUUAAUCAAGAACGAAAGUUAGGGGAUCGAAGAUGAUCAGAU